This 626-nucleotide ribosomal RNA is filed under the name Microbacterium sp. BeLA2. RNAcentral's name for it is "bacterial SSU rRNA". It matches the Rfam family "Bacterial small subunit ribosomal RNA", at positions 22 to 661 of the family's 1533-position model. The record is from RNAcentral. Lineage: Bacteria; Bacillati; Actinomycetota; Actinomycetes; Micrococcales; Microbacteriaceae.
GCUCAGGAUGAACGCGGCGGCGUGCUUAACACAUGCAAGUCGAACGGUGAAGCCCAGCUUGCUGGGUGGAUCAGUGGCGAACGGGUGAGUAACACGUGAGCAACCUGCCCUGGACUCUGGGAUAAGCGCUGGAAACGGCGUCUAAUACUGGAUAUGAGACGUGAUCGCAUGGUCAACGUUUGGAAAGAUUUUUCGGUCUGGGAUGGGCUCGCGGCCUAUCAGCUUGUUGGUGAGGUAAUGGCUCACCAAGGCGUCGACGGGUAGCCGGCCUGAGAGGGUGACCGGCCACACUGGGACUGAGACACGGCCCAGACUCCUACGGGAGGCAGCAGUGGGGAAUAUUGCACAAUGGGCGGAAGCCUGAUGCAGCAACGCCGCGUGAGGGAUGACGGCCUUCGGGUUGUAAACCUCUUUUAGCAAGGAAGAAGCUUUUGUGACGGUACUUGCAGAAAAAGCGCCGGCUAACUACGUGCCAGCAGCCGCGGUAAUACGUAGGGCGCAAGCGUUAUCCGGAAUUAUUGGGCGUAAAGAGCUCGUAGGCGGUUUGUCGCGUCUGCUGUGAAAUCCCGAGGCUCAACCUCGGGCCUGCAGUGGGUACGGGCAGACUAGAGUGCGGUAGUGGAAGA